GGAGCGGUAUCGAAGCGGUCAUAACGGUCCUGACUCGAAAUCAGGUGUACCUUUACGGGUACCGUGGGUUCGAAUCCCACCCGCUCCGCCA
Molecule: transfer RNA, 91 nt
Filed under: Candidatus Formimonas warabiya
Lineage: Bacteria; Bacillati; Bacillota; Clostridia; Eubacteriales; Peptococcaceae
Description: Peptococcaceae bacterium DCMF tRNA-Ser
Rfam family: tRNA
About the family: Transfer RNA (tRNA) molecules are approximately 80 nucleotides in length.
Source: RNAcentral